GUCAGCAGCCAUAUCACUCUGCAACUCACAACUGGCAGCCCACUGAAGCUAAGCAGGUGUGAGCCUGGUCAGUACCUGGAUGGGAGACCUCCUGGGAAAAAAAGGUUGCUGCUGGAA
This is a ribosomal RNA of Lepisosteus oculatus (spotted gar), 117 nucleotides long. Lineage: Eukaryota; Metazoa; Chordata; Actinopteri; Semionotiformes; Lepisosteidae. The record is from Ensembl.